UACGGGGGGGGCAAGCGUUGUUCGGAAUUACUGGGCGUAAGGGGCUCGUAGGCGGCCAACUAAGUCAGACGUGAAAUCCCCAGGCUCAACCUGGGAACUGCGUCUGAUACUGGAUGGCUUGAAUCCGGGAGAGGGAUGCAGAAUUCCAGGUGUAGCGGUGAAAUGCGUAGAUAUCUGGAGGAAUACCGGUGGCGAAGGCGGCAUCCUGGACCGGCAUUGACGCUGAGGAGCGAAAGCGUGGGUAGCAAACAGG
This 253-nucleotide ribosomal RNA is filed under the name uncultured bacterium. RNAcentral describes it as "partial 16S ribosomal RNA". It matches the Rfam family "Bacterial small subunit ribosomal RNA", at positions 524 to 776 of the family's 1533-position model. The record is from RNAcentral.